CCUACGGGAGGCAGCAGUGAGGAAUAUUGGUCAAUGGGCGAGAGUCUGAACCAGCCAAGUAGCGUGAAGGAUGACUGCCCUAUGGGUUGUAAACUUCUUUUAUAUGGGAAUAAAAUGUUCCACGUGUGGGAUUUUGUAUGUACCAUAUGAAUAAGGAUCGGCUAACUCCGUGCCAGCAGCCGAGGUAAUACGGAGGAUCCGAGCGUUAUCCGGAUUUAUUGGGUUUAAAGGGAGCGUAGGUGGAUUGUUAAGUCAGUUGUGAAAGUUUGCGGCUCAACCGUAAAAUUGCAGUUGAAACUGGCAGUCUUGAGUACAGUAGAGGUGGGCGGAAUUCGUGGUGUAGCGGUGAAAUGCUUAGAUAUCACGAAGAACUCCGAUUGCGAAGGCAGUUCACUGGACUGCAACUGACACUGAGGCUCGAAAGUGUGGGUAUCAAACAGGAUUAGAUACCCCUGUGGUC
Molecule: ribosomal RNA, 460 nt
Filed under: uncultured bacterium
Lineage: Bacteria
Description: partial 16S ribosomal RNA
Rfam family: Bacterial small subunit ribosomal RNA
Source: RNAcentral